UACAGAGGGGGCAAGCGUUGUUCGGAAUUACUGGGCGUAAAGGGCGCGUAGGCGGCCUUCUAAGUCGAACGUGAAAUCCCCGGGCUCAACCCGGGAACUGCGUCCGAUACUGGAAGGCUUGAAUCCGGGAGAGGGAUGCGGAAUUCCAGGUGUAGCGGUGAAAUGCGUAGAUAUCUGGAGGAACGCCGGUGGCGAAAGCGAUCCGCUGGACCUCUUCUGACGCUGAGGCGCGAAAGCCAGGGGAGCAAACGGG
This 253-nucleotide ribosomal RNA is filed under the name uncultured bacterium. RNAcentral describes it as "partial 16S ribosomal RNA". It matches the Rfam family "Bacterial small subunit ribosomal RNA", at positions 524 to 776 of the family's 1533-position model. The record is from RNAcentral.